AUUGAACGCUGGCGGCAGGCCUAACACAUGCAAGUCGAGCGGAAGAAGGGUGCUUGCUUCUGGUUUCAGCGGCGGACGGGUGAGUGAUGCCUGGGAAUCUCCCUGGCAGUGGUUUAUAACGUCUUGAAGCGGGCGCUAAUACCGCAUAAGUCCAGAGGGAGAAGGGGGGGGAGCUUCGGACCUUACGGUCUCAGGUGAGUGUAGGCCGGAGUAGCUAGUUGGUGGGGUAAAGGCCUACCAAGGCGACGAUCCGUAACUGGUCUGAGAGGAGGAUCAGUCACACUGGAACUGAGACACGGUCCAGACUCCUACGGGAGGCAGCAGUGGGGAAUAUUGGACAAUGGGCGAAAGCCUGAUCCAGCCAUGCCGCGUGUGUGAAGAAGGUCUUCGGAUUGUAAAGCACUUUUUGUGGGGAGGAACGGCAGUAAGUUAAUACCUUGCUGUUUUGACGUUACCAACAGAAUAAGCACCGGCUAACUUCGUG
Molecule: ribosomal RNA, 484 nt
Filed under: uncultured bacterium
Lineage: Bacteria
Description: partial 16S ribosomal RNA
Rfam family: Bacterial small subunit ribosomal RNA
Source: RNAcentral